RNAcentral lists this ribosomal RNA (1045 nucleotides) under Salmonella enterica. RNAcentral describes it as "bacterial SSU rRNA". It matches the Rfam family "Bacterial small subunit ribosomal RNA", at positions 1 to 1035 of the family's 1533-position model. The record is from RNAcentral. Lineage: Bacteria; Pseudomonadati; Pseudomonadota; Gammaproteobacteria; Enterobacterales; Enterobacteriaceae.
AAAUUGAAGAGUUUGAUCAUGGCUCAGAUUGAACGCUGGCGGCAGGCCUAACACAUGCAAGUCGAACGGUAACAGGAAGCAGCUUGCUGCUUUGCUGACGAGUGGCGGACGGGUGAGUAAUGUCUGGGAAACUGCCUGAUGGAGGGGGAUAACUACUGGAAACGGUGGCUAAUACCGCAUAACGUCGCAAGACCAAAGAGGGGGACCUUCGGGCCUCUUGCCAUCAGAUGUGCCCAGAUGGGAUUAGCUUGUUGGUGAGGUAACGGCUCACCAAGGCGACGAUCCCUAGCUGGUCUGAGAGGAUGACCAGCCACACUGGAACUGAGACACGGUCCAGACUCCUACGGGAGGCAGCAGUGGGGAAUAUUGCACAAUGGGCGCAAGCCUGAUGCAGCCAUGCCGCGUGUAUGAAGAAGGCCUUCGGGUUGUAAAGUACUUUCAGCGGGGAGGAAGGUGUUGCGGUUAAUAACCGCAGCAAUUGACGUUACCCGCAGAAGAAGCACCGGCUAACUCCGUGCCAGCAGCCGCGGUAAUACGGAGGGUGCAAGCGUUAAUCGGAAUUACUGGGCGUAAAGCGCACGCAGGCGGUCUGUCAAGUCGGAUGUGAAAUCCCCGGGCUCAACCUGGGAACUGCAUUCGAAACUGGCAGGCUUGAGUCUUGUAGAGGGGGGUAGAAUUCCAGGUGUAGCGGUGAAAUGCGUAGAGAUCUGGAGGAAUACCGGUGGCGAAGGCGGCCCCCUGGACAAAGACUGACGCUCAGGUGCGAAAGCGUGGGGAGCAAACAGGAUUAGAUACCCUGGUAGUCCACGCCGUAAACGAUGUCUACUUGGAGGUUGUGCCCUUGAGGCGUGGCUUCCGGAGCUAACGCGUUAAGUAGACCGCCUGGGGAGUACGGCCGCAAGGUUAAAACUCAAAUGAAUUGACGGGGGCCCGCACAAGCGGUGGAGCAUGUGGUUUAAUUCGAUGCAACGCGAAGAACCUUACCUGGUCUUGACAUCCACAGAACUUUCCAGAGAUGGAUUGGUGCCUUCGGGAACUGUGAGAC